Molecule: ribosomal RNA, 394 nt
Filed under: uncultured bacterium
Lineage: Bacteria
Description: partial 16S ribosomal RNA
Rfam family: Bacterial small subunit ribosomal RNA
Source: RNAcentral
CCUACGGGUGGCUGCAGUGAGGAAUAUUGGUCAAUGGGCGAGAGCCUGAACCAGCCAAGCCGCGUGAGGGAUGAAGGUUCUAUGGUUCGUAAACCUCUUUUAUAAGGGAAUAAAGUGUGGGACGUGUCCUAUUUUGUAUGUACCUUAUGAAUAAGGAUCGGCUAACUCCGUGCCAGCAGCCGCGGUAAUACGGAGGAUCCGAGCGUUAUCCGGAUUUAUUGGGUUUAAUGGGUGCGUAGGCGGCCUUUUAAGUCAGCGGUGAAAGUCUGUGACUCAACCAUAGAAUUGCAUUUGAAACGGGGAGGCUUGAGUAUGUGUGAGGCAGGCGGAAGUCGUGGUGUAGCGGUGAAAUGCUUAGAUAUCACGCAGAACCCCGAUUGCGAAGGCAGCCUAC